RNAcentral lists this small RNA (742 nucleotides) under Pongo abelii (Sumatran orangutan). Its description in RNAcentral is "processed transcript". Lineage: Eukaryota; Metazoa; Chordata; Mammalia; Primates; Hominidae. The record is from RNAcentral.
GCCGCAUCAUGGGCAACGGCUUCGUGAGUGGGGCGGGCUCGGGUGUGUGAGGGGUGCGGGGGGCGGCUCCCUUGUAGCACUGUGGUGACAAGUACAGCUGGAGGCAGCGCUCUGCUCACACAGCCCAGGCUGGGGCCGGGGGUCUCCCCUGGGGUCGAAGGUAGCCCUCGUGGCCUCUCGGACCCCAUCUGGAAAUGACUGACCCCAGGCACCCUCCGUAGAGCACAGGGUGAAGGAACUCAGCCUGAGAGGCCUCCAGUUUCUGCAUCUGUGCCCAGCUUCGAGGCGGGCUGCAUGCUGUUCCCCCACAUCUCCCCCUGUGAGGUGCGCGUGCUCAUGCUCCUGUACUCGUCCAAGAAGAAAAUCUUCAUGGGCCUCAUCCCCUACGACCAGAGUGGCUUCGUCAGUGCCAUCCGGCAGGUCAUCACCACCCGCAAGCAGGCAGUGGGACCUGGUGGUGUCAACUCAGGCCCAGUCCAGAUCGUCAACAACAAGUUUCUGGCAUGGAGUGGCGUCAUGGAGUGGCAGGAGCCCAGGCCUGAGCCCAACAGUCGGUCCAAGAGGUGGCUGCCAUCCCACGUCUACGUGAACCAGGGGGAGAUCCUGUGAGUGCUGGGCUAGGGGGUGGAGGCAGCAUCCAGGGGAGCUGGGGCUUCCUGACCCUCGUCCCCUUGUGCCCCACAGGAGGACCGAGCAGUGGCCAAGGAAGCUGUACAUGCAGCUCAUCCCACAGCAGCUGCUG